Planococcus citri (citrus mealybug) is the source of this 9630-nucleotide RNA transcript. It is a transcript of the gene named filamin-type immunoglobulin domains fbug, with no coding region annotated. The transcript has 49 exons. Lineage: Eukaryota; Metazoa; Arthropoda; Insecta; Hemiptera; Pseudococcidae. The record is from RefSeq and is a predicted model, not a curated record.
AACAGCAUCGAAAGGAGUAAAUUGUACGGAUUCGUGGUCGAUGGUUGUGUUUGUGUAAUUCAUUAACGUUCGCGUUUCGCGGAUUUAUUGUAUAUUUAUUUAUAUUAUUCGCUCUUAUCAUCGCGCAAAAAUGUAAAAUAAACGUCCCAGUGUCCGAUCAAAAUAAUUCCAGUGAAAUUUUCUUAUCAGUGUUAUCACCUAGUGCGCGAAUCCUCUGAUAAGCCGUAGCAAUUAAUAGUGUAAUCUUCGACUUGGAAGUUACGUUCCAUAAUUUUAUUCAUCAUAUAAUUUACAAAUUCUAAAUUCAUCUGUAAUAACAUGCACUACUACUGGUAAUAUUCUGUACAAAAAUGUCAUCCUUGCGCGUAUCCCAAAUCGGCCUGGUGGCCAGAAGUCCCGAAGGACAUGCAGCCAAAGGAAUGCCUAUCAAAGGCCACGAAGAUCUUUGGAUCGAUAUACAAGCGAACACGUUUCGAAAUUGGAUCAACGAGCACCUGAAAAGCGUCGAUAUGAGGGUGGUCAAUUUAGCUAGCGAUUUCGGCGAUGGUACCAAGCUUUGUGCUUUGGUCGAGGUGCUUCAGAAACGUAUCAUAAAACCGCACUGGAAUCGAAAACCCACCAAUCAACAUCAGUAUUUGGAAAAUGUUUCUUGCGCUUUGAAUGCCAUAGCCGAAGAUGGCGUUAAAUUGGUUAAUAUAGGUAACAUCGACAUCGUGAAUGGAAAUUUAAAAUUAAUAUUGGGUUUAAUUUGGUCGUUAAUCGUUCGUUACCAAAUCGGUCCAUCCAAGUUCCCUCCGAAGAAACUGAUGUUGGCCUGGUUAAAAGCAGUGUUACCAGAUUGCAGUGUGAAUAAUCUAACCUCAGAUUGGAACAGUGGUAUAAACUUAUCAGCUCUAUUAGAUUACUGCCAACCUGGAUUGUUCUCUAAUUGGAGGGAAUUGGAUCCAUCCGAUAGCAUCGAGAACUGUCGAACAGCGAUGGAAUUAGCCCGGCAAGAAUUCAACGUACCUAUGGUCUUGGAACCGGAAUACUUGGCUUCGCCAUUCUUGGACGAAUUGUCCGGUAUGACGUAUUUGUCUUACUUCAUGAAGGAAGACAGUCCUGGUUUCAAAUCAACGUUGCGAUGGGUGAAUUCUCGUCUGAAGAACAGACCUGUUAGAAAUUUCACGACUGAUUGGAAUGAUGGCAGGGCAUUAUGUACUUUGGUAAAAUCACUCGGUGGAUCAGCCAAGUACGAAGACAGUGAUGAUACGUCGGUUUGGUUAUCGAAUUUGAAUUCAGGUAUUUACGCCGGUCGCAGAUUAGGAGUUGAUCCUUUGCUCAGUGCUAAAGAUAUGGUUAAUCAAAACGUCGAGCAUUUAGGAGUGAUGGCGUACGCUGCCAGCUUCCAAUGGAUUCCUCCUCGGACUCAUCCGUCAGCUGUGGUCGCCGCGACUUCUGACUCGCAUACGACCAGAGUCUAUCAACCGACAACCAUAAAUUUAGAUUUUUCAAGCAGCGAAGUGAACCUGAAAGAAAUCACAGCCGAAAUUAUCGGUCCGGAAUGUAAUAAAGUAGAAUGUAGACUUACCUUGGGUCUAUCAGGAGGCAAAGGAACAUUCGUACCGAUGCAAGUCGGCAUGCAUAAGAUAAUCGUAUACAACGAAGAAGAAAUUGUUCGCGGUUGCCCUCUUUACAUUCGCGCCAUGCCGGAGUUGACUUCAAUCAAACACACAGGCUUGGAACCCUGCGCUGUUGGAUCGAUCGUCGAAGUGAUAGUGAAUUCAAACGGUGCCAAAGCAGGUCUUAUAGAAGUUACAGCUACAUCACCCACAGGAAGAGAAUUACUUUGUCCUGUGCAUGAACGAGAGGGUAUCUAUAGAGCUACUUUCGAGCCGGAUGAACCCGGAGAAUGGUCCAUUGCUGUUAGACAUAGCGGCGAACUGAUCGAUGGUGGACCAUUUCCGUGCUUCGUGUUUGAUCCGAAUGGAGUCGAAUUGAUUGGAUUGGAUAAGUCUGCUGUGCCUGAGGGUAUAUUUAAUUUCACUUUGGAUGCCAGAGGAACUGGAGGCCUGGGAAAUAUUGUUAUUGAUAUCGUGUAUAAUAAGCAAUCGUUACCGCAUACCAUUGAUCAUAUUGGAAAUUCAAUUUAUAGAGUUUCUCUGCACACCAGAAGGCCUGGAAAAUACAAGCUGUAUAUUUAUUUCAAUGGAAACCAAAUUAAAGGUAGUCCUUUUCCAUUGAGAGUUGGUACCAAAGAACAACAGCGAGUAGAAAGACAAAGUUCUUUUUCCAAGCAUUACGAUAGAAGUAGUUAUAAUAAUAAUUAUGAAUUCAAAGAAGAAAAUUCGUCAGACAGUUAUUACCAUAGAAUAAGUUCCCCAUCUCGAUCGCCAUCACAUUCACCUAGUCCACAUUUACACGCCAGUAGUCCGGUAAACGUUAGAAAUUCAGAAUCGUCGAGUAUUCAUAAAUCUGCAUUUAAGGUAACCAGUAACAGUAGUUCGAAAAUGGUCGACUCACUACUACGGUCCAGAUUAUCGCCUAUAAAUAAUUCAAGCGAUUAUUCAUACAAGAAUGUCAAUUCAUCGUCGUCGAUGCAAAACUCAUCGUAUAGAAAUGGUAGUCCGAGUAGUCACAUCACGAAACACAAUUCCACAUCGAAUAAUCAUUCGGUCAAGUAUUUGAAUACAUCGUCGAGUAUUCGAAUGUCUCCAAGUUCGCCUACGGCUCACUUCAAAAGUAUUUUGAAUUCUAAUUCGAAGAGCUCGACUCCUGUUAAUGGCCAUGCUCUAGACAUUAAAGUAACCGGAGAUGCUUUACAUUUGUUACCAAUUCAUAAACCGUCCACUAUUUAUAUUCAUACCGAUGCUACUCUUCCAAAUGUUUUGGUUACCGUUACUUCCCCUUCAAGUUCAACAUUACCAGUAAGAUUAUCUCGUAACGUUAUCGAUAACGUUGUUUCUGCUUCAUUUACUCCGGUUGAAAUCGGAGAACACGCGAUCGACGUUAAAAUCAAUAACGAACGUAUCGCUGCAUCACCUUUCAGAACCCACGCUUAUAAUUCCCUUGCCAUAAAAGUUGCUUCGAUACCAGACGGAUACGUUGGCCAAGCUGUCGAAUUUGAAAUUGACGGCUCCGGCGCCGGCUCAGGCAACCUGGAGAUUUUAGUGAAUGGUGGCCAUGUUACCAGUUUCGUAAGGAAUCUCGGAAAUCAACGAUUUCUAGCUUCGUUUGUGCCCCACGAAGCUGUCAUUCAUAAAAUCGACAUGAAAUUCAAUAACGAACCGGUUAUCGGAAGUCCUUGGGAAAUAUCAGUCAUGCCCAGCGGAACUGUCGGUCCGAAGAUGUCAGUUAUUGGAGAAGCGGUCCGGCUUGUACCGGCCAAUCACUCGGCUAGUUUCCAAAUCAGCGCUAUUGGAUUUAGAAGAAGUGAUUUACGAGCUACGGUUAUGAGUCCGUCCAAACGUAAUUUACCAACUUCCAUAUUUUCCGAAGGAAGUAACGGAGUAUUCCGUAUCGAAUUUAUACCCACCGAGGUGGGCAGCCACCUUAUCGAUGUCUCCGUAGCUGGUGAUAAACUCAUAGGAGGCCCGUUGGUGGCCAAGGUGUAUAAUACAUCUUAUAUACAUGUUACCGAUGUGAAAAAUGGCGUAGUCGGACAACCCUGUCAAUUCAAAGUUGACGCUAGCGAAGCUGGUGAAGGUCAAUUGGAGAUUUCAAUCAACGAAGGCGAAGUACCAAAUCACGUUACUGUAGUAGGCGGAGGUCGUUGUCUAGUCUCAUUUACGCCAGAACAGCCGAAGCCUCAUCUUAUCGAUAUUAAAUUCAACGGAGAAACCGUAUCAGGUUGCCCGUUUGUGUGCUCAGUUUCGGAUACGAGUAGAGUAUCAGUGAAUUUCAGUAGUUUAGAAUUAAUACCAGUUAACCAAGUGGCAAGAUUUCACAUGACUGUAGACAACAGUGCUUCAGCCGAACUUUCAGUUUCUGUUACCGGACCUACCAGUGAAUUACCGGUAAAAGUGACCGGAAACGUUCACAGCGGUUUCACAGCUGAAUUUACUCCACAACAAGUUGGAUCUCAUACGAUAGCUGUCGACUAUAAUGGCCAUCCGAUCUACGGUACACCUUUUGUUUCAAAAGUAUACGAUGCUAAACAAGUGAUCGUUGGCAAUGUGCCCAAAGGACAUGUGGGAAAUACGCUUCAAUUUACUGUGGAUGCUAGUCAAGCUGGAGAAGGAAAUUUAGAAAUUACAAUUAGCGCUCGCGGUACAAAUAUUCCGACACAAGUCCAUCCGCAAAGAAAUGCUAAAUUUACCGUCAGUUUCGUACCAAUUGAACCGACUGAUCAUAUUAUUAGCAUUCAUUUCAAUAAAGAACCAGUACCAGGUUCACCGUUUAUUGCCAACGUCAGCGGAGAUUUUCCAUUAGUAAAUGGAGCCGCUUUAAAUUCAGCACCCGUUGGCAGUAAUUCUUACUUCACAAUGAGCAACGUAUCCGGCAAUUUAGAAGAUAUCGAAGUCAAUGUGGAGGGUCCAAACGGGCAGUCGGUACCUGCUCUAGUUAAAGACACCGGUAAACAAACAUUUAAUGUGGAAUUCUGUCCCAAACUCGUCGGCGAGCAUAAGAUCGGAGUCAGUUAUAAAAAGGUGCCCUUGGCUGGGUCUCCUUUCAGUUGCAAAGUCUACGAUGUGAACGCUAUCAAAGUCACACCGGUCAAAAAUGGAGUUAUUGGGCAACCUGUUACUUUUAUCAUUGAGACGAGUCAAGCUGGUCCUGGAAAUUUGGAGGUUACGGUUAAUGGUGGACGUGUUCCUACUACAGCUCAAGGUCAAGGACCUCACACUUACGCUAUAUCGUUUACUCCGAGACAACCUGCAGUUCAUACGGUCGAUUUGAGGUUCAAUGGGAAAGAUGUGCCUGGAUCACCCUUCACUUGCUCAGUCAGCGAAGCAGCCAGAGUCGUUCUAUCCAACGAAGACAAAGUAUCGGUAGAUAAACCAGCGAAAUUCGUCAUCGAAUGCGAACCCUCCAUCGGAACCCCCAAAGUACAAGUCCUAUCUCCGAGUCGAAUCGCUUUACCUGUUCAGCUCGUACCUUUGGACACCUCUGGCAGAUUUUCAGCUCAAUUUGUAGCCAAAGAUGUUGGCGAUCACAGCGUCGAAGUGAAAAUAAACGGAAAUCACGUCGAAGGAAGUCCAUUUUUGAUCAAAGCCUACGACGCGAGUAAAGUCAAAGUUACCGAUAUUAAUUCAGGUUUUGUCGACAGUCCGGUGUAUUUUACAAUCAACGCGAGCCAAGCCGGAGCCGGAAACUUGGAAAUAAUAGUUUCGGUGAACGGAUGCAAUGUACCGAAUUACGUGCAAUCGGAAGGAAACGCCAAAUUUAGAGUGAAUUUCAAACCUAGAGAAGCUGCUCCCCACAACUUGAGCGUUCGAUUCAACGGCGAACCUGUUCCAGGAUCACCGUUCACAUGCAAGAUAUUCAAAUCGGAUCAAAUCCUCGCCAAUGAGGAUGGACUGAAGAUGUGCCAUGUCGGUAGACUGACGACGAUAAAUGUAGAUUCACCGUCUGAUUCGUCUAUCUGCAAAGUGAUCGUGACUGCUCCAAAUGGACGCCAGAUACCGGUCGAUACGAAUACGAAGAUCGAUAAUAGGAUUUUGGCCAAAUUUACUCCCGUUGAAGUUGGUCAUCAUGUGAUUAAUGUUGAAGUCGAUGGGAAUCCAAUCAAGGGAAGUCCUUUCACCUGUAAUGUGUAUAAUGUUGAUAAAAUCAAAGUCACCGGAUUGGGAACUGCUAAAGUUGGCAAACCGGUUACAUUCAGCGUCGAUGCAACCGAAGCUGGAGAAGGUACUCUGGAGUUGGUCAUCAGUACCGAAUUAAGCACAGUGAAAGCUGAAGUUGUGGCAUGUUCCAGAGGGCUUUACGACGUAACUUUUGUACCUCAUCAGAUUUUACCUCACUUCGUUAAUAUCUCAUUCAACGAAGAAAGUUUACCAGGAAGUCCUUUCCGCUGCGACGUUGUAGAAAUACCUGGUAAAAAAGGCAGCACAGCAACAGCUCGAGGCGAAGGUCUAAACCAAGUGAUUUUAGGAUCAACAGCGUACUUUGAAAUAAACCCACAUUCCUUAGAUCAUGGCCAAAUUGAAGUACAAGUCACAGGUCCUGAUGGUAAAACAUUACCAGUGGUUUUGGAAAAAUUAGAAUCCGGCCUGUUUCGUGUCAAAUACAAACCUACAGUAGUAGGCAAUCAUACGGUUACCGUUUUGCAGAGAAAACAACCUAUUUCAAAACAUCCUUGGAAUGUGCAAGUAUUCGAUCCGACCAAAGUGAAGAUAUUCGAUCGAAGCGAAGCUUUUUGCAAUCAACCUGCUAGUUUCAAAGUCGAUACUCGUGGAGCUGGCAGUGGUGCUCUGACUCUAGGUGUAAAAGCAGCAACAUCCGAAGUCAAGCAUACUCUACAUGAGCUCGAUGCUCAAGGAAUUUACCAAGUUAAUUAUCAUCCAACGGUUCCAAUACCUCAUCGUAUCUUAAUAAAAUACAACAACGUUUACAUACCAGGAUGUCCAUUAGAAGUACCUGUCAGCGAUCCAGCCAUUGGCCAAGAUGUCUGCGCUAUUGGAAUGGGAUUGUAUCAAUCUAGAGCUAACCACGUGACUAGUUUCGUCAUAUAUACGGCUGGAUACUCGCCCAAUGACUUCGAUGUCGUUGUCACCGGUCCUCAUGGCACAGCUAUACCAGUAAGGUGUUACCAACAAAAAGAUGGCAACCUGUUGACUGAAUUCACCGCCGCCAAUACCGGCGUUUAUAAAAUCGAAGUUGUUCACGGAUCGAGACAGGUUCGAGGAUCGCCUUUUAUGUGCCAGGUAUUCGACGCUUCGAAAAUCAAAAUUGAAAAUAUACCAAAUAGCACCGUUUCGGUGAACGAUAAUAUUACUUUUAAAUUAAUUAGAAAAAAUGCCGGAUUGGCCGAAUUAGACGUCACAGUCCGUAGUCCUCUAGGUCAAGAUUUGCCUAUUGUUGUAAAAAGCAUAGGUCAAGAUACCGAUUUGAUCGAACUUUGUCCAACUUUACCCGGAAAUUACGGUUUCCAUAUUACCUAUGGUGGUGAUUCGAUACCAGAUUCACCUCUAACAUUCACUGUCGUAGACUCGGGUUUCGGUCGAGCCUGGGGUCCUGGUUUAUCUAAAGCUUUAGUCGACACAUUUACCAAAUUUUUCAUCUCGGCUCGAAGCGUAUCAGCUCAGGGUAAACCAGUCGUCCAAAUCACGUCUCCUACUCGAGAACCUAUCAGGUGUUCUGUUGUGCCAGCCAAAUCAGGGAACGAAGGCGAAUAUGAAGUCACUUUCACUCCAGAGAUGGUUGGAACUUACGAUAUAGAUGUGAUGUGGAAUGGCAAAAAUAUACCUGGAUCACCGUUCCAUUGCUUCGUUGUGAAUAUAAAUCGAGUCAGGGUAGUCGGAGAUAAUCCACUUUCGGGCAAAUUCAUCAUGACUGUAAAUACGACCACUAGAAUCAUAUUCGAUGUGUCACAAGCUGGCCCUGGUGAACUUGUGGGCACGUGUGAGGCUCCUCAUGGCACCACAAUACCAGUAAAUAUCGAACACUUGGGUCCAGAUACGGUGCAAUGCUCGCUAACUCCUCGUAAUCCUGGACCUCAUUCGUUAUCUUUACUUUAUGGCGGAUUCUCUCUGCCAAAUUCGCCUUUCCACGGAUUAGCUGAAAGUACAGCCAGUGGCGUCAGAGUCAUAUUAACUGGUAAAGGAUUAGCUUCCGCUAUAUGUGGCCAACAGGCUGAAUUCACCAUUGAUGGAACGCAGGCUGGUCCUGGCGUACCUGAAGUUACGUUAACUGGAGUUAAACACGAUAUCGAAGUAUCGUUACAGAAUAUCAGUGAUCGUGUUUAUAAAGCUAGCUAUACUCCUAACAAUCCUGGAGCUUAUUUAUUAAAUGUCAUGUGGUCUGAUAGACAAGUCAAAGGAUGUCCUCUCAAAGUUACCGUUAAUGCGGUUUGUGACGCUAGUAAGGUGUUGUGUACCGGAGAUGGUCUGGGAAUCGGUACCGUUGGCAAAGAUAUUAGAAGUUUUAUUGAUACUAGAAGAGCUGGACCAGGAGAAUUAAGUGCACAUUGCGUAGGUCCUCAUAAAGUAGCUUAUUGCGAACUGUACGACCACGGAGAUGGAACUUUCACAUUAAAUGUCAAACCACAAGAACCUGGAAAACAUACUCUUACCGUUAAAUACGGAGGUGUCGAUGUACCUGGAAGUCCAUUCGUUCUUAGAGUGAGUGGAGCCCCUGACCCGAGCAAGGUUCGAGUUUACGGACCUGGCAUCGAACAUGGCGUUUUAGCCAUGUUCCAAAGUAGAUUUAUUUGCGAUACUCGAGGAGCCGGCGCUGGCCAAUUGACCGUUCGAGUCAGAGGACCUAAAGGAGCUUUCCGAGUCGAAAUGCAAAGAGAGAGUCAAAAAGAUAGAACAAUUUUAUGUAAAUACGAUCCAACUGAACCAGGAGACUACAGAGUAGAAGUUAAAUGGGCCGGAGAACAUGUACCUGGAUCACCAUUCAUGGUUAUGAUCUUUGAUACCCAACAAGAACUGAAUAGAUAUUUGCAGGAAGCCAAAAAAAAGUUAAUUCCUUUUGUAAAGUAAUUGAAUGGUUACUAACAAUGGAUUUUGGAACUCGACGAUGCAUGUGCUACCACAAAAAUGAAGAAUUCGGCUUAAAAAUAAGCCAAAAAACAGGCCAUCGAAUCUUGCAUUUUUAAUUACCUACGUUUUCUGACUAAAUUGAAGUCGCUGGAGCACAAAUAAGUAUAACAUUAAAAAUCGAUCCUCGUCUCGUAAUUUUAAAAAAAAAGAAACAGUUUACGAUCUAAAAGGCACAAGCGCUCGAAUUGGACACCGGAUUCGGUCUCGGCGACCUGGAAUUAGUUGGAAAACAUCUUCAAAAAUGGAAAAAAUGAUUUCUUCGGACCACAACAGGAAAUUAAUGGCGUUCAUUGAUGAGCAACAGAGGUGUUAAUAAAAUUGCCUAACCGGUUCGCCGUAAAUACGAAGUACAUUUUUUACCCCAAAAAUAAACCUUUGAAUUUUGGGGCGUAUCGAAUGGGAAUUUCGAACGAGGGGGGUUUUUGUAGCGGGGAAUUUAUUUCUGGUGUCUGAUUCUCGCCUUGGAUUUUUCUUUCACCCGAAACGACAGAUUUAAUCGUGCAGAAAAAUUUCUAAGAAUGAAAAGUUUUGUUUUUUGAAUGUCUAAUUUUGAAAACUGAAAUUUUCGAUUAGAAUGGUAAUAUUUCAGAAUAAUAAUGGAAGAGUUGGAUGGAGGAGGAUAAUUCAAAAUUGAGACAACAAAUCAAAUAAAAAAAAAAUUUUUAAUUUUUUUUUUUGUUUUUUAAGAGUGACUAAACUUUUAGGAAAAUUUCCUGUUUGUAGAAAAAGUGAAAAAAGAAGUCCCAGACACCAGUUUCAAAACUCAAAAAAAACAUCUAUCAAGUUUAUUACCCUUGGUUAAUUUUAAGGAUCAAUUUCUCGUAUGAUAAAACAAUCUUUCAGCAUAAGCUACGAUUACCGUACCUUGUUUACAAUUAUUCUGGUUAACCUUAUACCUAUUCGCAAUGAAACAACAAACAAUUAAAUAAAUGUGUGAAUCGAA